UAGUGGCCUUUCGAAAA
RNAcentral lists this non-coding RNA (17 nucleotides) under Sclerotinia sclerotiorum. The record is from RNAcentral. Lineage: Eukaryota; Fungi; Ascomycota; Leotiomycetes; Helotiales; Sclerotiniaceae.